UCUCUCACGGUGGAAAUUAGGUUGUAACAU
Molecule: non-coding RNA, 30 nt
Filed under: Rattus norvegicus (Norway rat)
Lineage: Eukaryota; Metazoa; Chordata; Mammalia; Rodentia; Muridae
Source: RNAcentral